RNAcentral lists this ribosomal RNA (468 nucleotides) under uncultured bacterium. RNAcentral describes it as "partial 16S ribosomal RNA". It matches the Rfam family "Bacterial small subunit ribosomal RNA", at positions 28 to 507 of the family's 1533-position model. The record is from RNAcentral.
GACGAACGCUGGCGGCGUGCUUAACACAUGCAAGUCGAACGGAAAGGCCCUGCUUUUGUGGGGUGCUCGAGUGGCGAACGUGUGAGUAACACGUGAGUCACCUUCCCUUUACUUUGGGAUAACUUCAGGCAACUGGUGCUAAUACCUGAUAGGAGCUCCUGCUGCAUGGUGGGGGUUGGACAUUUUAGGCGGUUGGGGAUGGACUCGCGGCUUAUCAGCUUGUUGGUGGGGUAGUGGCUUACCAAGGCUUUGACGGGUAGCCGGCAUGAGAGGGUGACCGGCCACAUUGGGACUGAGAGACGGACAAGACUCCUACGGGAGGCAGCAGGGGGGAAUAUUGAACAGUGGGCGGAAGCCUGAUGCAGCAAUGUCGCGUGCGGGAUGAAGGCCUUCGGGUGGUAAACCGCUUUCGCCUGUGACGAAGCGUGAGUGACGGUAAUGGGUAAAGAAGCACCGGCUAACUACGUG